This 820-nucleotide ribosomal RNA is filed under the name uncultured Oscillospiraceae bacterium. RNAcentral describes it as "bacterial SSU rRNA". It matches the Rfam family "Bacterial small subunit ribosomal RNA", at positions 73 to 913 of the family's 1533-position model. The record is from RNAcentral. Lineage: Bacteria; Bacillati; Bacillota; Clostridia; Eubacteriales; Oscillospiraceae.
GCUUGCUUUCUCAAGCGAGUGGCGUACGGGUGAGUAACGCGUGAGGAACCUGCCUCAAAGAGGGGGACAACAGUUGGAAACGACUGCUAAUACCGCAUAAGCCCACGACCCGGCAUCGGGUAGAGGGAAAAGGAGCAAUCCGCUUUGAGAUGGCCUCGCGUCCGAUUAGCUAGUUGGUGCGGUAAUGGCCCACCAAGGCGACGAUCGGUAGCCGGACUGAGAGGUUGAACGGCCACAUUGGGACUGAGACACGGCCCAGACUCCUACGGGAGGCAGCAGUGGGGAAUAUUGCACAAUGGGGGAAACCCUGAUGCAGCGACGCCGCGUGGAGGAAGAAGGUUUUCGGAUUGUAAACUCCUGUCGUUAGGGACGAUAAUGACGGUACCUAACAAGAAAGCACCGGCUAACUACGUGCCAGCAGCCGCGGUAAAACGUAGGGUGCAAGCGUUGUCCGGAAUUACUGGGUGUAAAGGGAGCGCAGGCGGACCGGCAAGUUGGAAGUGAAAACUAUGGGCUCAACCCAUAAAUUGCUUUCAAAACUGCUGGCCUUGAGUAGUGCAGAGGUAGGUGGAAUUCCCGGUGUAGCGGUGGAAUGCGUAGAUAUCGGGAGGAACACCAGUGGCGAAGGCGACCUACUGGGCACCAACUGACGCUGAGGCUCGAAAGCAUGGGUAGCAAACAGGAUUAGAUACCCUGGUAGUCCAUGCCGUAAACGAUGAUUACUAGGUGUUGGAGGAUUGACCCCUUCAGUGCCGCAGUUAACACAAUAAGUAAUCCACCUGGGGAGUACGACCGCAAGGUUGAAACUCAAAGGAAUUGA